AGUCAUAUCUAGAUGAGGAGCAUUGGAUGAAAGAAAAAUUGAUGGUUCAAAGCAUGCUUUUUCAAAAUUUUUAGCAGACGACUAUAGAUUAAAUAAUUUAAUCUAUUUUGUAUACCCUAGAUCUGAUCUAGAAACUACCAAAUUAGGAUCAUAUGACAUGAAUAAAUACAAUAUUUGAUUUUCUAUAUGUGAUUGAUCAUAUCAAUCAUGCAAGC
This 215-nucleotide long non-coding RNA is filed under the name Elaeis guineensis (African oil palm). RNAcentral's name for it is "long non-coding RNA (EGUI_LNC054888)". The record is from RNAcentral. Lineage: Eukaryota; Viridiplantae; Streptophyta; Magnoliopsida; Arecales; Arecaceae.